This 394-nucleotide transfer-messenger RNA is filed under the name Schleiferiaceae. RNAcentral's name for it is "TMED14 sp001438205 Standard tmRNA". It matches the Rfam family "transfer-messenger RNA". Rfam says of the family: Bacterial tmRNA, also known as 10Sa RNA or SsrA, is named for its dual tRNA and mRNA-like properties. Its role is to liberate the mRNA from a stalled ribosome. RNAcentral also lists the same sequence under 1 other name. The record is from RNAcentral. Lineage: Bacteria; Pseudomonadati; Bacteroidota; Flavobacteriia; Flavobacteriales.
GGGGCUGACCGGUUUUGACAGCAAGAUGAAGGGGUCUGUAAGCAUGCCGAGCUAUCCGAUUGAUGCUCGUUAAUUCAACGUCGGAAUCUAUAAUUGGCGAGUACAACUACGCUCUUGCCGCUUAAUCUUCCAAUAGGAGACUAAGCUAAUUCCGCACUAGGUGCGGAAGCGGGACAUCCCUCAAGAUCCACGUCCUGCGGAGAUUGAUCAAGGGGUGCUGGAAAUGCGGGAAUAGGAAGGUUUUUGCUGCGCGAAUCUUCUGAAAUUUAGUAGAUAAGCUGAAGGUGGGGUGUUUGUCCUCAGCCUUUGGAUGAAAACCAAUGACAAAAUAAGCAUGUAGAAAGCUUGUCGUUUCCUUGUCUGGACGUGGGUUCGAUUCCCACCAGCUCCACUU